AGAGAGAAAGCCCUGCUUCUGAUGCCUCCGUCAUAAAUGAAGGAUCUCUCUUGUCCUCCACCCUUCUCCAGCCCUUGGGCGUCUUCAGCAUCAGAUGUCAUCCUGCCAAAGAC
RNAcentral lists this long non-coding RNA (113 nucleotides) under Betta splendens (Siamese fighting fish). Its description in RNAcentral is "lncRNA (ENSBSLG00000014141.1)". The record is from RNAcentral. Lineage: Eukaryota; Metazoa; Chordata; Actinopteri; Anabantiformes; Osphronemidae.